RNAcentral lists this ribosomal RNA (253 nucleotides) under uncultured bacterium. RNAcentral describes it as "partial 16S ribosomal RNA". It matches the Rfam family "Bacterial small subunit ribosomal RNA", at positions 524 to 776 of the family's 1533-position model. The record is from RNAcentral.
UACGUAGGGGGCUAGCGUUGUCCGGAAUCAUUGGGCGUAAAGAGCGCGUAGGCGGCUAGAUAAGUCCGGUGUGAAAGUCACAGGCUCAACCUGUGAAUGCCGCUGGAAACUGUCUGGCUAGAGUCCGGAAGGGGCGAGUGGAAUUCCUGGUGUAGCGGUGAAAUGCGCAGAUAUCAGGAGGAACACCAAUGGCGAAGGCAGCUCGCUGGGAUGGUACUGACGCUGAGGCGCGAAAGCGUGGGGAGCGAACAGG